RNAcentral lists this transfer RNA (78 nucleotides) under Thermodesulforhabdus norvegica. RNAcentral describes it as "tRNA_Pro_GGG". It matches the Rfam family "tRNA". From Rfam's summary of the family: Transfer RNA (tRNA) molecules are approximately 80 nucleotides in length. Their secondary structure includes four short double-helical elements and three loops (D, anti-codon, and T loops). Further hydrogen bonds mediate the characteristic L-shaped molecular structure. tRNAs have two regions of fundamental functional importance: the anti-codon, which is responsible for specific mRNA codon recognition, and the 3' end, to which the tRNAs corresponding amino acid is attached (by aminoacyl-tRNA synthetases). tRNAs cope with the degeneracy of the genetic code in two manners: having more than one tRNA (with a specific anti-codon) for a particular amino acid; and 'wobble' base-pairing, i.e. permitting non-standard base-pairing at the 3rd anti-codon position. Lineage: Bacteria; Pseudomonadati; Thermodesulfobacteriota; Syntrophobacteria; Syntrophobacterales; Thermodesulforhabdaceae. The record is from RNAcentral. RNAcentral also lists the same sequence under 1 other name.
CGGGGCGUGGCGCAGUCUGGUGAGCGCACUAGCAUGGGGAGCUAGGGGUCGGCGGUUCAAAUCCGCCCGUCCCGACCA